Molecule: long non-coding RNA, 516 nt
Filed under: Struthio camelus australis
Lineage: Eukaryota; Metazoa; Chordata; Aves; Struthioniformes; Struthionidae
Description: lncRNA (ENSSCUG00000009943.1)
Source: RNAcentral
CUCAGGGCAUGUGAAUCCUCAAGAGUUUUACCUGUUGAAGGAACCUGGGAGCCAGGCAUUUUUGAGCACUUUUCUAUAGGCUGUGCAUCCCAGACCUUUGUGAGCUGUCUUUUUGCUUGGAGGAGGAAAAAGACCUGUCCAGUCGGUCUUUUUGCUAUUCUACUGUCAGCUGUUUCUCUGCUUUCACAAAGCCUUGAUCCUGAAGUUACCACUGACUUCUGUAAAGAUGGGAGGGAUGUAUUUACAAAGCAAAACUCACAGCUGGCAGGUAUGGGUCUGCAGCUUUCAGGAUCCCACCAGCCAUCCAAGUCCUUCAUCUUCUCUGGACAUGCAAAAUCUUGUAUACUCCCUCAAGGCAAAGGUCCUUAUAUGCACCCUCUUCCCCCGCCCCACCGGCUGACAUGGGAACAGCCUGUGAUAGGCACUGCUACUGGAUGCUAUUGUACCCAAAUGGUGUCGGUAUAUGAGAAAAGCAAGGCCUACACAACUUCUGUUUUUCCCAGCUUUACAUAUUAG